Molecule: ribosomal RNA, 497 nt
Filed under: uncultured bacterium
Lineage: Bacteria
Description: partial 16S ribosomal RNA
Rfam family: Bacterial small subunit ribosomal RNA
Source: RNAcentral
GAUGAACGCUGGCGGCGUGCCUAAUACAUGCAAGUCGAGCGAACGGACGAGAAGCUUGCUUUUCUGAUGUUAGCGGCGGACGGGUGAGUAACACGUGGAUAACCUACCUAUAAGACUGGGAUAACUUCGGGAAACCGGAGCUAAUACCGGAUAAUAUUUUGAACCGCAUGGUUCAAAAGUGAAAGACGGUCUUGCUGUCACUUAUAGAUGGAUCCGCGCUGCAUUAGCUAGUUGGGAAGGUAACGGCUUACCAAGGCAACGAUGCAUAGCCGACCUGAGAGAGUGAUCGGCCACACUAGAACUGGAACACGGUCCAGACUCCUACGGGAGGCAGCAGUAGGGAAUCUUCCGCAAUGGGCGAAAACCUGACGGAGCAACGCCGCGUGAGUGAUAAAGGUCUUCGGAUCGUAAAACUCUGUUAUUAGGGAAGAACAUAUGUGUGAGUAACUGUGCACAUCUUGACGGUACCUAAUCAGAAAGCCACGGCUAACUACGUG